Molecule: ribosomal RNA, 431 nt
Filed under: uncultured bacterium
Lineage: Bacteria
Description: bacterial SSU rRNA
Rfam family: Bacterial small subunit ribosomal RNA
Source: RNAcentral
UACCAGAAAGGGACGGCUAACUACGUGCCAGCAGCCGCGGUAAUACGUAGGUCCCGAGCGUUGUCCGGAUUUAUUGGGCGUAAAGCGAGCGCAGGCGGUUUGAUAAGUCUGAAGUUAAAGGCUGUGGCUCAACCAUAGUUCGCUUUGGAAACUGUCAAACUUGAGUGCAGAAGGGGAGAGUGGAAUUCCAUGUGUAGCGGUGAAAUGCGUAGAUAUAUGGAGGAACACCGGUGGCGAAAGCGGCUCUCUGGCUUGUAACUGACGCUGAGGCUCGAAAGCGUGGGGAGCAAACAGGAUUAGAUACCCUGGUAGUCCACGCCGUAAACGAUGAGUGCUAGGUGUUAGACCCUUUCCGGGGUUUAGUGCCGCAGCUAACGCAUUAAGCACUCCGCCUGGGGAGUACGACCGCAAGGUUGAAACUCAAAGGAAUU